UCCAGCUUCAGGAGGAGUGUGUCUGGAAGUGGGUCUUUGCCACGGUCGGUGCGGGAGUGAGAACAUUCGGGGGAGAAAAAAGACACCACCUUUGACUACUCUCUUCACAGGUUCCCAGUUCUGGAGGUCCAAGGUCAAGGUGCCGACAGAUCCAGUGUCUGGCAGAGGCCUGUUUCCUGGUUCAUAGACGGCCGUCUUCUCACUGUGUCCUCACAUGGAAGAAAAGGUGAGGGAGUUCUCUAAGGUCUCUUUUAUAACAGCACUAAUCCUAGUCACCUCUGAAAGAUCUCAUGUCCAAAUAUCAUCACAUCGGAGAUUAGGUUUGAACAUGUGAAGUUUGGGCAGAGGGGAGAGGAGGGAGGGACACAAACUAAAAGCUUAUUUAGCCUGUAGCACAUAUACGUAUAGAAAAUGGCAUAUAUCAUGAGUCUAUAGCUUGGCAAAUUUUCACAAAUUGAACAUAGCCUGUAACCAACACCCAAAUCGAGAAACAAAACAUCACCUGUGGAAGCUCGUCUCCAAGAUGGCUGCCAUCAAGUCCUUCCCUCUGCGUACGUUAUGCCCCUUGACCAUGGACGUGGAAUCUCUUCCUGUCAUCCCUUGAAUUCAGACUGCCUUAGUGACUUCUUUGACUAAUGGAGUGAAAUGGAAAUGACACUAAGGCUAGGUCAUAAGAAGCCAUGCAGUUUUCACCUGGGUCUCUUGGAAACUCUCUCUCGGGACUCUGAACCACCAUGUAAGAAGUCUACUACCUUGAGGCUGCCACGUUGGAGAGGCCACAUACAGGCACCCCUGUCAACAGUUCCACUGGGUCUCAGAUUUCCGGCGAUCCCUGCACGAAAUGUGUUAGGACAGCUUCUCUGGAGCCUGCAGACUAAUCCGUCUACCAGCUGAACACUAAGUGACCGCCAACAAGACGUUGGUGGAGCAAAGAAUCCCCCAGCACAUCAAAGUCACCUCGUCUCAGCAGCUCUCGAAGUUGCUGAGGACGCUGGCUCCGUGCCACUUACCACCACCACCCCAGCUGGACUGGCGGCAGGCCUGCGUGAGCCUCUGACGGCAGUGCCCUGAAGAUGAGAACACAACCCAGUGGCAACUUGGCUGCAGCCUGUGAGAACCUGAGCAGAGCUAAGCUGUGCAGGGACUCUUGACUCAUGGAAACUGUCUCCCAGGACUCCCAAAUUCCUCAGGCUUAACACCUGCACCUCCCUGGGAGCCAGGAGGCCAAAAUUCCAGAGCUGCACCAGGCGUCCCCUCAUUUGAUGUUGAGGCUGCUGGCCCUCUGUGUGCUGGAGACAAGCCCUGGGUCUGGCCCAGCCUGGCCCAGAAGCCUGCGUGCCACUGCUGGUCUGUUUUCCAAGGAGAGGAGAGUCUGUGGGGACCUCAGGGAUACAGCAAGAGGGAGGCGUACUUGAAAAUGAAGGUAACAAGGACAAAAUCAUUUCCUAAAUUAUAAUUUUAUUUAACAUGGAUGCAAAAGAUGGUCACUGCCUCAAUGAAUAAUGAUAGGUGGGGUGCCCCUGUGCGGGAGCAGAGCUAGGGUGCUGGUCCUGGCAGGGUGGCCUGGCACAUAUGGCAACCUGGACCGUCUUCACUGGGAUAAGUGGGAGGGGCUGGUGGGGGGGAGACUCCGGUCUAAAAAGUGUGCCACGCUCUCAGCAGCAUCGAUGCUGCCUCUGUCCUGGAUAACAUUAGAGUUGAGGGGAUCUUGAGGGCAUGUCCUCCAAAGCCCAUUUCACAAUUAAGGAAACUGGGGCCCAGAGAGUUUCUGGGAACUUUUCCUUUAUCCCGAAUCCUGAAUGUACAAAAAAAGAGUCAACAAUGAACUUGAGCAUAAAGUUUCCAGAUAUAAACCUAAAUGGUCAAUGAGCAGAUGGGAGGAUGUAUAACUUCACUAAUCAAAGAAAUGCUAACUGAAACACUAGAGUGCUAUUUCUUUCCUGUUUUAAGAAAUUUAAAUAGAAUACUCAGAAUUAGGGUAAGCGUUAGGAAACGGCCUCUCUCGUUCACACUGGGGCCACAUGAUUUGAUUGGUGCAACUUUUCUUUUUUUUUUUUCUUGGUACAACUUUU
Hipposideros armiger (great roundleaf bat) is the source of this 2072-nucleotide long non-coding RNA. RefSeq lists it as uncharacterized. The record is from RefSeq and is a predicted model, not a curated record. NCBI's taxonomy places the organism in Eukaryota, Metazoa, Chordata, Mammalia, Chiroptera, Hipposideridae. The transcript has 6 exons.